GACGAACGCUGGCGGCGUGCUUAACACAUGCAAGUCGAACGGAAAGGCCCUGCUUGGGUGGGGGGCGCGAGUGGCGAAGGGGUGAGUAACACGUGAGUAACCUGCCCUGGACUUGGGGAUAACUUCAGGAAACUGGGGCUAAUACCGGAUAGGAGCUCCUGCUGCAGGGGGGGGGUUGGAAAGUGUCGGCUUGUGGGGAUGGACGCGCGGCUUAUCAGCUUGUUGGUGGGGGAGUGGCUUACCAAGGCUUUGACGGGUAGCCGGCAUGAGAGCGUGACCGGCCACCUUGGGCCUGCGAUAGGGCGCAGACUGCUACGGGAGGCAGUAGUGGGGACUCUUGCCCAAUGGGCGGACGCCCGAUGAAGAAACGCCGCGUGCGGGAUCACCGCCUUCGGGUUGUAAACCGCUUUCGGCUGUGACGCCGCGUGAGUGACGGUACUGGGUAAAGAAGCACCGGCUAACUACGUG
This 468-nucleotide ribosomal RNA is filed under the name uncultured bacterium. Its description in RNAcentral is "partial 16S ribosomal RNA". It matches the Rfam family "Bacterial small subunit ribosomal RNA", at positions 28 to 507 of the family's 1533-position model. The record is from RNAcentral.